UACGGGGGGGGCAAGCGUUGUUCGGAAUUACUGGGCGUAAAGGGCUCGUAGGCGGCCAACUAAGUCAGACGUGAAAUCCCUCGGCUUAACCGGGGAACUGCAUCUGAUACUGGAUGGCUUGAGUUCGGGAGAGGGAUGCGGAAUUCCGGGUGUAGCGGUGAAAUGCGUAGAUAUCUGGAGGAACACCGGUGGCGAAGGCGGAUCUCUGGGCCAUUACUGACGCUGAGGAGCGAAAGCGUGGGGAGCGAACAGG
Molecule: ribosomal RNA, 253 nt
Filed under: uncultured bacterium
Lineage: Bacteria
Description: partial 16S ribosomal RNA
Rfam family: Bacterial small subunit ribosomal RNA
Source: RNAcentral